Molecule: ribosomal RNA, 440 nt
Filed under: uncultured bacterium
Lineage: Bacteria
Description: bacterial SSU rRNA
Rfam family: Bacterial small subunit ribosomal RNA
Source: RNAcentral
CCUANGGGUGGCAGCAGUGAGGAAUUUUCCACAAUGGGCGAAAGCCUGAUGGAGCGACGCCGCGUGAAGGAUGAAGCUUUUCGGAGUGUAAACUUCUUUUAUGUGGGAUGAUUAUGACAGUACCACAUGAAUAAGGACCGGCUAACUACGUGCCAGCAGCCGCGGUAAUACGUAGGGUCCAAGCGUUAUCCGGAAUUACUGGGCGUAAAGAGUUCGUAGGCGGAUUUUUAAGUCGGAUGUUAAAUAUGCAGGCUCAACUUGUAUGCUGCAUCCGAUACUGGAAGUCUUGAGAGUGGAAGAGGUAAGCGGAAUUUCCGGUGGAGCGGUUAAAUGCGUAGAUAUCGGAAGGAACACCAAUGGCGAAGGCAGCUUACUGGGCCAUUUCUGACGCUGAGGAACGAAAGCGUGGGGAGCGAUCGGGAUUAGAUACCCGUNUANUC